This is a long non-coding RNA of Mastacembelus armatus (zig-zag eel), 2466 nucleotides long. NCBI's taxonomy places the organism in Eukaryota, Metazoa, Chordata, Actinopteri, Synbranchiformes, Mastacembelidae. The record is from Ensembl.
CUGGUAAGGAUGUACCUUUGGAAGGGCCUGCUGAAAAAGAAGAUAUGCAGCCACAUGCUCCAGCUGAUGCAGGGGUAAAGAAAGAGGUGGGAAAUGUGCAAGUGGAGACUUCAGAUUCUGAAACUGAGGCAGUACUUAAACCAAAAUUAGAGUCCGGGAUGAACAGUCCAGCAUCUGACUGUGAAACUGAAAAAAGUUUGUUAAAGCAGUGGGCACAUUUCAGCCAAGAUGAAAACACCUCAGAUGCAGUUGAGAUGAGACAAGAAAUGAGCUGUUCCAUGGUAGGAACAAAUGAGACAGAUGAUGAGGAUAAGCUGUACCCUGAUGGAGAAGAGAUGGCUACGUGGAAUAGUGUAAUAGAAAGGAAGGUUGAUCUGGAGAUGGAUGAUGGCACAAAAAAAGAUGAAGCAAAAAGACAACAUGCUGAACCAGAGGAAGACAUGUCACCAAAAGAACCUGAGCAAGAAAAGAGAGAAAUUAGGGAGGAGUUUUCCACAGAUGUACAAGUCAAAGACAUGGCCGCUUCAGUUUGGGACACACAAGCAGAUGAAGAUGUGCAGCAUGCUGCAUUAGACCGAGAGCAAGUUCUGUUUCCUGACAAAGAAGACGAUGAAGACGAGGACUCUCAAAAGGGUUCGGUGUCAUGGAGGACUGAGCUGGAGAGCGACAGCUAUGCUCAGGAUAACACUUUUCCUGACCCUCGUCCUCUGAUUCGAUACAAAAGUGACGAGACUGACGUCCACGCUCAGGCACUGCACACGGAAGAGAGCGAGUCCAGCGAUGGUGAACAGGAAAAGAAAAUCGGCGAGCCGGGCACCGGAACAUGGAACGAAGACAAGUCAAAGAGAUUUGGAACUAUGGAAGAUCUGUGUGAAGAAGUUGAAGAGGAAGCACUGGAUGAGGAUUAUGAUCUGGGAUACACACACACUGAGGACUGGGAUGAGGACAGGGACAGUGAUUAUGCUACGUCAAUGAAUGAUGCCAAAAAUGCAGAUGAAGGGAUCCAGAGACUCAGUGAGAGACAGUUAGAUGAAGAAAGUGAAGAAUUUACCAAACUCAUGGUGCCCACAAAUGUACAUUAUGAUGAAGAGUUAGACAGACUUGAGGAACAAGAAUUAGAAAAGCUGUGCACAGACAAGUAUAGUACUCACUUUGCACAGCAGCAGCUCAGUGAGACUGAGGAAACACCACAGGACUGCAGGGCUGCUGAGAAAAUUAUACAUCAAGAAGAGGCUGCAAACAUAAAAACAGAUGACACAUAUUCCUCCUCAGAGCCUGGACUGAGCCAUGAACUUACGUCUUCCACUACAAUUCCAAAUCAGCGUUAUGAGAACCCACGUUUCAGUGAGUCAUCAGUGGCCAAAGCUCUGACAGACAUUGCGGCUGAUGAAGAAAUACAGCAUGAAGACGAAAAAGUUCCAGAUAGAGCAAAGGGGAAUAAACAUGUGUCCAUGAUAAGACAUGUUGACAGAACAGACAUGGAGGCAAUCAGCAGCUCAGAGGAUCCAAACUCCACAUCACAGCAAAACCUGGAGGAUGUGGGUUCAGAUACUGAGGUGAAAGGCGAUUUACCUGUAGAUGGGUCCAGCAGGUCUCAGGAGAAUCAAGUUGAGGGUGUUGCACCCUGGCAGCCAGUCCCAGAAACAGCUGAGGUCCAACAGAACCAAAGUGAGGACUCAGAAAUCAGAGACAAGAACGAACAAGAUCAAAAAUGUGAUAAUGUCCCUGAAUUAGUUGAAAGUCACAACAACAAAGGACCUGACGACACACACAAAAAGGAACCGCUUGAGAUCAGCUUUCCUGACAUCUUUGCAAUGAAAGACUCCACAGAACUAUCAAACACAAAUGACAAAGAUGGCAGCCUCGAUGAUGUUUCCACUUCCCUUGAGUCUGGGGAAUCCUAUUUAGAGGCCAGAACCACCUACAAACCAGAUGAUGGCUGUGAUGCACCAUAUGAACAAAGCAAUCACAGUCCAGGGUUUGGUGUCGCUAACAGGUGUAGGAUGGACAGUGGCUCAAAUAGAGCCCUGGGAGCUGAAGAGGAGCAGCUUCAUUCUGAGGUGAAGCAGCCGUGGUCUAAAGAUGCUGCUGAUGAGUUGGGUCAUGCUGGGGAGUCUGAGCUUGAAUGUGAAUCUUCAUCUUUCUUUGAAGAUCCAGCAUAAAAAGGAGUCACGUGCUGAAGUUAAACCAGUUGUAGUGCAUGUUUCAGAGAUGUCAUUUGAAUGUCUACUAUCACUGCCUAAUCUGAUUUGACUGAUGGAAAUCAGUGGAUGCUGCAGUGAAGAAGCUGCUGUGUCACAGUAUUUCAACCAGCCACUGUGCGUUAUCUCAUUCAACAUAAUCUAAACUUUGAAUAAACAAACAUAUGUUGACUUAGGUUUUUUAAAUUGAUCUUGGUUUUAUUUCCACCUAUGAUGUCUUUGCUGCAGUACCUUUACAGCCAAAAUAAACUGUAGAUGAUAGAAA